GGUGUAGUGUUUCCUGACUGAAGGUACCAUAUCCACUAUCGCGACGCGACGUACCCCGUAGUACAGCAAAAUUGUUGACGCCAACUCGUGCAGCCUUCCAUCGGCGCCGGCUCAUGCGAAUCUCGUCGGAGCGGCAGCAAGCCAUGGGAGACUAUCUGAAUUCGAGUUCAUCUCGCCGCCACCGGGAAUCGGCUCCCCUCGGCCGGAUCCGCAUGAGCCCCGCUAUGACCACGCCCCUGCUGGAGCUCGAAGCCACAGUCCGGCCUGCCCGCUGCCUGACGUCCUCUUCGAUUUCCUUGCGAUGAGCACUUCCAGCCAUGGUCGGAAGGCUUCACUCGUUUCCUAGAUCCAUUUUGACGUUUAGUUUAUAUUAUGACGCCUCUACUUUUGGUCACCAACACAUUAUCUAUCGCAGUGGCUUUCAACACUAGUUUUUUGCCGGGCGACCAGGGAUAAAUCCCCGUGGCCGCAAUAUAUAUUUUUUCCAGCAAA
Long non-coding RNA from Hordeum vulgare subsp. vulgare (domesticated barley), 492 nucleotides. RefSeq lists it as uncharacterized. The record is from RefSeq and is a predicted model, not a curated record. The transcript has 2 exons. NCBI's taxonomy places the organism in Eukaryota, Viridiplantae, Streptophyta, Magnoliopsida, Poales, Poaceae.